Molecule: long non-coding RNA, 243 nt
Filed under: Erythranthe guttata (spotted monkey flower)
Lineage: Eukaryota; Viridiplantae; Streptophyta; Magnoliopsida; Lamiales; Phrymaceae
Description: long non-coding RNA (EGUT_LNC000244)
Source: RNAcentral
CACAAUUAAUGAAAUGAAAUACGGCUAAUACCUGAGGUCGAAAGGCCGGUAUGGAAACCCCCGUAUUAUCUAUGGCCAAAUAUGAUGAACAGGUUCCGAAAACGAAAGCCUAUUGCUAUCAGUCAAGUACCACACUUCAAGGGUACCCGAUAAAGAGAAGGAUUUCAAAGAAAAGGAUCAUGAAUGAAGUUAUAUGUGAUAUUGUACUUAUUGAAUGAAUAAUGUGUUAUGUGAUAUAUCGCU